GCAUGUGCAUGCAUGUGCAUGCAUGUGCACGCACGUGCAUGCAUGUGCAUGCAGGUGCAUGCAUGUGCACGCAGGUGCAUGCAGGUGCAUGCAUGUGCAUGCACGUGCAUGCAGGUGCAUGCAUGUGCAUGCACGUGCAUGCAGGUGCAUGCAGGUGCAUGCACGUGC
RNAcentral lists this non-coding RNA (168 nucleotides) under unclassified sequences. The record is from RNAcentral.